UCGUUGUCUCGCCCGCGCCUCCACAUCUGUGGCCGUGCUUUUCUACGUGGCGCGGACGGCUCAAGCGCUAAAAAAGGAACGAGAACUGCGCAGGACGAGAAGAAGAGGUUUUACCACGAGGAAGACGCACCGCGUUGUGGCGGGAGACAGGGGCGCCUGUCCCGUGCCUGUCUCUCUGCGCGUCUGUCACACCCUCCGUUCGUCUGUGGCUCUUGCACAGUUGUGGUCGUUCUGUCGUCAUUGGUGGUGCGCAGCGGAGUUUGUGCGGUGCUGGUGCGGAAGAGGAAGCGUGUGCGUGUGGGCGUGCCGGUCUCUCCGCGCCUGAGAGCUGGAGGGCGAGGGUGCGAGUCGCGCGGGGAAGGCCAGCACACCGACACCCUCAUAUACACGCCUCCGUAUGCGACAGUGCUCUCAUCAAUCAUCCGCACCCCCUCCCCCUUCCUCCCUUCCCUUACCUACGCACGGGCAUCCGCAUCUCUGUUGUCGCACCGCGGCGUUGCUCCCCUCAUCGCCAG
RNAcentral lists this unclassified non-coding RNA (515 nucleotides) under Leishmania donovani. RNAcentral's name for it is "gene:unknown". Lineage: Eukaryota; Euglenozoa; Kinetoplastea; Trypanosomatida; Trypanosomatidae. The record is from RNAcentral.